This 75-nucleotide transfer RNA is filed under the name Candidatus Aenigmatarchaeota archaeon. Its description in RNAcentral is "tRNA-Ile". It matches the Rfam family "tRNA". From Rfam's summary of the family: Transfer RNA (tRNA) molecules are approximately 80 nucleotides in length. Their secondary structure includes four short double-helical elements and three loops (D, anti-codon, and T loops). Lineage: Archaea; Nanobdellati; Candidatus Aenigmatarchaeota. The record is from RNAcentral.
GGGCCGGUAGCUUAGCCUGGUUAGAGCAGCCGACUUAUAAUCGGCAGGUCGAGGGUUCGAAUCCCUCCCGGCCCA